GUUCCUAUUUCAGAAGGUUGUUUUCUCCUCUGGAUUUCGACUCGCGAACAAUCGCACAUGUCGGACAACUGCAGCGCUUCGUAUCGCAUCUGCCGGAGCGCUGCUUUUCUUUCGGUA
RNAcentral lists this small RNA (117 nucleotides) under Sinorhizobium meliloti 2011. RNAcentral's name for it is "putative ncRNA". The record is from RNAcentral. Lineage: Bacteria; Pseudomonadati; Pseudomonadota; Alphaproteobacteria; Hyphomicrobiales; Rhizobiaceae.